This 239-nucleotide ribosomal RNA is filed under the name uncultured bacterium. RNAcentral's name for it is "partial 16S ribosomal RNA". It matches the Rfam family "Bacterial small subunit ribosomal RNA", at positions 538 to 776 of the family's 1533-position model. The record is from RNAcentral.
GCGUUGUUCGGAAUUAUUGGGCGUAAAGGGUGCGUAGGCGGUCUGACAAGUGUGAUGUGAAAUCUAUGGGCUCAACCCAUAGUCUGCAUCGGAAACUGUCGGGCUGGAGUAUGGGAGAGGUGAGUGGAAUUUCCGGUGUAGCGGUGAAAUGCGUAGAUAUCGGAAGGAACACCGGUGGCGAAAGCGGCUCACUGGACCAUUACUGACGCUGAUGCACGAAAGCUAGGGGAGCAAACAGG